CAGUCGACGAAACUUCUUUAUCACCGAGUGCUUGCACUCACCGAUAAAGAGUUGAGUGGCGAACGGGUGAGUAACACGUGGGCAACCUGCCCAAAAGAGGGGGAUAACACUUGGAAACAGGUGCUAAUACCGCAUAACCAUAGUUACCGCAUGGUAACUAUGUAAAAGGUGGCUAUGCUACCGCUUUUGGAUGGGCCCGCGGCGCAUUAGCUAGUUGGUGGGGUAAAGGCUUACCAAGGCAAUGAUGCGUAGCCGAACUGAGAGGUUGAUCGGCCACAUUGGGACUGAGACACGGCCCAAACUCCUACGGGAGGCAGCAGUAGGGAAUCUUCCACAAUGGGCGAAAGCCUGAUGGAGCAACGCCGCGUGGGUGAAGAAGGUCUUCGGAUCGUAAAACCCUGUUGUUAGAGAAGAAAGUGCGUGAGAGUAACUGUUCACGUUUCGACGGUAUCUAACCAGAAAGCCACGGCUAGCUACGUGCCAGCAGCCGCGGUAAUACGUAGGUGGCAAGCGUUAUCC
RNAcentral lists this ribosomal RNA (519 nucleotides) under uncultured bacterium. RNAcentral's name for it is "bacterial SSU rRNA". It matches the Rfam family "Bacterial small subunit ribosomal RNA", at positions 59 to 546 of the family's 1533-position model. The record is from RNAcentral.